Molecule: microRNA, 22 nt
Organism: Caenorhabditis elegans
Lineage: Eukaryota; Metazoa; Nematoda; Chromadorea; Rhabditida; Rhabditidae
Source: Ensembl
AAAUUUGUAGUUUGUAGUGAGA